This 278-nucleotide unclassified non-coding RNA is filed under the name Hevea brasiliensis (rubber tree). The record is from RNAcentral. Lineage: Eukaryota; Viridiplantae; Streptophyta; Magnoliopsida; Malpighiales; Euphorbiaceae.
CUAAGCCAAAUAUCCACCAUCUCCAGUGAUUUAGUCCAAAAGUGACCGUCCUUGUGGCCUAAAACGAAAAUAUACCCUUCCGCAGGCUGUAAACAGAAAGCCAUAAACUUACAUGGCUCCCUCCCGUGGGAUGUAUAUCUAUGGACACCCAUAAACUCAAAAUUAUAGAAGAUCCAUUUACAUUCGAGUAUCAAUGACAAAUUAAUUAACAAACCUAGACCAUUGCCUACAAUACUCAUCCUCGAGGAGCUGACUUACAUGGUCCUAUUUCACAAAAG